This 433-nucleotide ribosomal RNA is filed under the name uncultured bacterium. Its description in RNAcentral is "partial 16S ribosomal RNA". It matches the Rfam family "Bacterial small subunit ribosomal RNA", at positions 29 to 507 of the family's 1533-position model. The record is from RNAcentral.
AACGAACGCUGGCGGCAUGCCUAACACAUGCAAGUCGAACGAGACCUUCGGGUCUAGUGGCGCACGGGUGCGUAACGCGUGGGAACCUGCCCUUAGGUUCGGAAUAACUCCCCGAAAGGGGUGCUAAUACCGGAUAAUGUCUUCGGACCAAAGAUGUAUUGCCUUGGGAUGGGCCCGCGUUGGAUUAGCCAGUUGGUAGGGUAAAAGCCUCUCAAGGCGACGAUCCAUAGCUGGUCUGAGAGGAUGAUCAGCCACACUGGGACUACGACACGGCCCAGACUCCUACGCGAGGGAGCAGAGGGGAAUAUUGGACAAGGAGCGAAAACCUGACACAGCAAUGCCGGGUAAGUGAUGAAGGCCGUAGGGUUGUAAAGCUCUUUUACCCGGGAUGAUAAUGACAGUACCGGGAGAAUAAGCUCCGGCUAACUCCGUG